CGGGGUGAGUAAUGUCUGGGAAACUGCCUGAUGGAGGGGGAUAACUACUGGAAACAGUAGCUAAUACCGCAUAACGUCGCAAGACCAAAGAGGGGGACCUUCGGGCCUCUUGCCAUCGGAUGUGCCCAGAUGGGAUUAGCUAGUAGGUGGGGUAACGGCUCACCUAGGCGACGAUCCCUAGCUGGUCUGAGAGGAUGACCAGCCACACUGGAACUGAGACACGGUCCAG
This 229-nucleotide ribosomal RNA is filed under the name uncultured bacterium. RNAcentral describes it as "partial 16S ribosomal RNA". It matches the Rfam family "Bacterial small subunit ribosomal RNA", at positions 104 to 334 of the family's 1533-position model. The record is from RNAcentral.